GUUGUUGCAGUUAAAAAGCUCGUAGUCGGAUUUCAGUAGGCUCAGUUUAGGCCCUCUUAUGGGUUCUUUAUGGGCUUACUUCUUUGACAGAAACUCCUAUGUUAUUCAUUUAGCGUGGGUAGCGACUGUCUCUUUUACUUUGAGAAAAUUAGAGUGUUCAAAGCAGGUAUUCGCCUGAAUAUUACUCUUGGAAUAAUGCUAUAAGACUUUGGUUCUAAUGUAUUGGUGAUUGGGACCAGAGUAAUGAUUGAUAGGGACGGUUGGGGUCUUACGUACUGCAAAGCGAGAGGUGAAAUUCUUGGACCUUUGUAUGACGAACAACUGCGAAAGCAUUGGACUAGGACGUUCCCGUUGAUCAAGAACGAAAGUUGGGGGAUCGAAGACGAUCAGAUACCGUCGUAGUCUCAACCAUAAACUAUGCCAGCUAGGGAUCGGAGGACGUUACAUUUUCGACUCCUUCGGCACCUUAUGAGAAAUCAAAGCAUUUGGGUUCCGGGGGGAGUAUGGUCGCAAGGCUGAAACUUAAAGGAAUUGACGGGAGGGCACCACCAGGAGUGGAGCCUGUGGCUUAAUUUGACUCAACACGGGAAAACUUACCAGGUCCGGACAUAGUAAGGAUUGACAGAUUGAAAGCUCUUUCUUGAUUCUAUGGGUGGUGGUGCAUG
Molecule: ribosomal RNA, 665 nt
Filed under: uncultured marine eukaryote
Lineage: Eukaryota
Description: SSU rRNA
Rfam family: Eukaryotic small subunit ribosomal RNA
Source: RNAcentral